GAUUAACGCUGGCGGCGUGCCUAACACAUGCAAGUCGAACGAUGAAACUAAGUAGACUUCUUCGGAAAGACACUAAGCGGCUUAGUGGCGACCGGGUGAGUAACGAGUGAGUAAACUGCCUUAACCAAGGGGAUCGCCUUUGGAUACGAAGAAUAAUACUCUAUAACACCAUAAAAGCAUAAGAUAGGAUGGUCAUAGUGAUAGCGGUGUAAGAUGGACUUACGUCUGAUUAGCUAGUUGGAGGGAUAAACGCUCACCAAGGCAACGAUCAGUAGCCGGCUUGGGGAAGUGUACGGCCACAUUGCGACAGGGACACGUCCCAAAUCCCUACGGGUGGGAGCAGUGGUGAAGUUGGCACAAUGGGGGAAACCCGGAGGCCUCGACGCCGCGUGAUUUUGAAGGCCUGCGGGUUGUAAAAAUCUUGUAUAUAGGAAGAAAAUGACAGUACUAUAUGAAUAAGGUCCGGCUAAUUACGUG
RNAcentral lists this ribosomal RNA (477 nucleotides) under uncultured bacterium. RNAcentral describes it as "partial 16S ribosomal RNA". It matches the Rfam family "Bacterial small subunit ribosomal RNA", at positions 28 to 507 of the family's 1533-position model. The record is from RNAcentral.